GGGGGUGUAGUUCAUUGGUAAAGUGCUUGCUUAGCAUGCUUGAGGCCUGGGUUCAAUCCCCAGCACCACCA
RNAcentral lists this transfer RNA (71 nucleotides) under Fukomys damarensis (Damara mole-rat). It matches the Rfam family "tRNA". From Rfam's summary of the family: Transfer RNA (tRNA) molecules are approximately 80 nucleotides in length. Lineage: Eukaryota; Metazoa; Chordata; Mammalia; Rodentia; Bathyergidae. The record is from Rfam by way of RNAcentral.